RNAcentral lists this unclassified non-coding RNA (252 nucleotides) under Monascus sp. (in: ascomycete fungi). RNAcentral describes it as "partial contains 5.8S ribosomal RNA, internal transcribed spacer 2, and large subunit ribosomal RNA". The stretch from base 1 to 52 matches the Rfam family "5.8S ribosomal RNA", at positions 103 to 154 of the family's 154-position model. Lineage: Eukaryota; Fungi; Ascomycota; Eurotiomycetes; Eurotiales; Aspergillaceae. The record is from RNAcentral.
AACGCACAUUGCGCCCUCUGGUAUUCCGGAGGGCAUGCCUGUUCGAGCGUCAUGUAAAGAAUCAUCAAGCUCUGCUUGGCAUUGGGGGUCUCGCCCGCUCGCGCGGGCGCCCCCUAAAUCGGUCGGCGGCGGCGAUUAGCCUCAAGCGUAGUAAAACAUUCCGCUUUUCGAGUGCCAUUCGACGCCCGCUUCCAGAAAACCAUACACCUAAACAUUGACCUCGGAUCAGGUAGGGAUACCCGCUGAACUUAA